GCAUCCGGAGUAAAGCCCAGUAAGAAAUGGCGCAUGCGGACGUGAGUAGAUUAAGUUAAAAACACAGAUUGGCCAUCUUGGAGCCAGUCUCUAGUUAAGCAAUGAGGGAGUGUGGUAUAUGGCAAAUAUACCACGGCUAAGGGCUGUUCUUGUUUUAUUUAUUUCACCUUUAUUUAACCAGGUAGGCCAGUUGAGAACAAGUUCUCAUUUACAACUGCGACCUGGCCAAGAUAAAGCAAAGCAGUGAGAUACAAACAGCAACAUAGAGUUACACAUGGACUAAUCGAAUGUACAGUCAAUAAUACAACAGACAAAAUCUAUAUCCAGUGUGUGCAAAUGAGGUAAGAUUAGGGAAGCAAGGCAAUAAAUAGGCCGUAGUGGCGAAGUAAUUACAAUUUAGCAAUUAACACUGGAGUGAUAUACCAUGGCUGUCAGCCAAUCAGCAUCCAGGAGCCAAACUACCCAGUUUAUAAUGAAGAACCGAGGAGGUGAGGUAUAAUCUGUAGAUUUACUUGAUUUAUCUUGCCCUGAAUGAAACUUUGUCAUAUUGACACACAUGUUCAAGGGGCAAUUCUAAACAAAUAAAUACCAGCCAGGUACCCUCUAUCUAACAGGGUUCUAUGGCUGUCCCCAUAGGAUAUCCCUUUUUGGUUCCAUGUAGAACCCAUAAAAGGGUUCUCCUAUGGCAGGGGAAGGCAACCUUUGUUCCUGGAGUGCUGCAGGAUUUUUGUUCCAACUAGGCACCACACCAGAUCGAGCUAAUUGAUCAGUUGAGUGAUUGCCUAAAUUCAACACACCCAGUUUCCCAGUCGUUUGUGUGGCCGCUUCCCUUCGGAGGUCUGUAGACAUGUUCCGCCCUUUCAGACUGGUCUUUAAGGCUGUGGUCAACAACACAUUUAACAACAGUAUUGAGGUAGGUGUCCUGAGUGGAGGCCUGGAACUGUGAGGAGUGGACCGCGAACAAAGCGUGUCACAUCAACAGCGCCUCCCUCAUCUACCAGCUGUCUAACACACCUGGAGACGUACCUGCCUGUCCCCUCAAGUCACAUACACAAACAAGGACUGGGAGAGGAGAUACCUGUCUGCCAUCGUAAGGAAGAUAAUUAUUGAUGGCUAGAAAGCACACCCUGUCCUGUAAGGAGGAGGCUCCUAUCUCUGUCCCCCGGGAUAAAAGGAACCAGGUGUAUCUGGGUUUUAACAAUGUAGCAGCUCUGACUGUACUGACUGGGGAAACAAGACUGGGGAUGCCAGCAGCAUCAAUGACAGGAUCGGUGUGUUUGUCCAUGAGGAGGAGCUGCUUUGUGUCCCAAGCUCAGAUGGUCAUGACCUUUGCCCUCCAUGCCUUCACCCUAUUGGCUAACCUCACACUGCAACCUCUUUGGGGGACAUUAUCUCUGUGAGGAGGUAGAGGGGGCCGAUGAGGAGGAGACGGUGUACCACAUUAAAUGCCCCCCCCAAAUCAACGGAAGCAAGAGCCGAAAUUUUGUGUUCCCGUUGUCAAAGAGACAGUCCUGCAACGAGUAAAGGUACCCCUAUGUGCUAGGCCUGAGGUCUGUAACCGUGGAAACAUCUCCCCCCCCUGACCUCACCUUCUGGACGAUAGCGGGGUGAACAGGCAGUGGCUCGGGUGGUUGUUGUCCUUGACGAUCGUUAGCCCUCACGAUUCAGAGACAAUGUGUUAAAACCAUGUGUUCCAGGUGUGUUACCACAACCAGGUGACGUCAGGCGUGUUGCCGCAUGUAACCUGGCAGGCUGGUCUAAGUCUAUGGAGGAGACGGCUAGCACACGUACCACCUUCCUGGAGAGAGACACCACACACACACACACUAAACCGGAGUCUGAUGGUUGAAUUGAUACUA
Molecule: RNA transcript, 1859 nt
Organism: Oncorhynchus keta (chum salmon)
Lineage: Eukaryota; Metazoa; Chordata; Actinopteri; Salmoniformes; Salmonidae
Gene name: acyl-coenzyme A thioesterase 11
Exons: 7
Source: RefSeq, a predicted model, not a curated record